Molecule: long non-coding RNA, 988 nt
Filed under: Rattus norvegicus (Norway rat)
Lineage: Eukaryota; Metazoa; Chordata; Mammalia; Rodentia; Muridae
Description: long non-coding RNA NONRATT006232
Source: RNAcentral
UGGACAUUUUAAGUAGCGCUGGUGUGAGGGCUGCUGAAAAAAAAUGUCUUAAUCCUGUUUGGUCUGUCUUUCUGGAACAGGUUUAUGAAGUAGUAGGGCUUGGAAGAAGACUUCAGAGUUUGAGAAGAUAUGUACCUUUCGAAGCUGACCACUUUCCAUGUCCUUGCUGAAGUGUGUGUGUGUGUGUGUGUACACAAAGACCAGAGAGAGGGUCACAUGUGCUGGAUCUGAAGUUGUAGGUGGUUGUGAUCCGCCAGAGUGGAAGUUGAGAAAUAAACCCAAGUCCUCUGCAGAGUACCAAGUGCUCUAACCAUUGAGAUCUACCUGCAACUCCCAAAAACAAAUUCUCAAAGAGGGCGUCUCACCCUCUGUGGAUUCUGGAAUUGCUAUGCGGGUGAUUUUGCUCCUUCGUGGAUGUCCUUCCCCAAGCUGGAGAGUGUGGAUCCACAUCCUUAUCAACGGAGACAAGACACCUUGUGAACAGGUUUUCCCAUUUCAGGACCCUGCACAUGCUAGAGAGUGGUCCACAGAGUCUGCUCCAGCAGAAGAGUCCUGAGUUGCCCAAGCUCUGGGUUUUCUGAUGAGGUGACUUGGAACGGGGUUGGAUGUGUGGUUUGGUCCCAGUAGACGGCAACAGCUGUAUUUGGCUCUGGCUUGAGAAUGAUGGGCACAGGAAAGUCCACGACCAAAGCAAUGACGCUGGCAGUACUAGCGGAAUGCAGAAGGGCAGAGUGGGGAAGGAUGCUAAGAUCCUACAAAUAAAGCUCUCCCAUUAAGGAACUGCCUCGAGUCCCUGGAUUCUCUUCUCCAUAUUCAGGCUGAAUCACUCUGUCUUCUUCCUAGGGUUUUUAGUAUACCUUCCAGGACUGUGUAUUACUUCACCUGCCAAGGCAAGCUCGGGCUUGGUAUCAGGAUUCCUGAAUGUUAACAAGCAGAUACGAGAUCUCAGGAAAAACACAGCAAUAAAAAAGCAUUUAUUAAGGCAACU